GCCCCUCUAGCUCAACGGGAGAGCCCCUGCCUUACACGCAGGUCGUUGGGAGUUCGACUCUCUCCAGGGGUA
RNAcentral lists this transfer RNA (72 nucleotides) under Mycobacterium avium subsp. hominissuis. RNAcentral's name for it is "tRNA-Val". It matches the Rfam family "tRNA". Rfam says of the family: Transfer RNA (tRNA) molecules are approximately 80 nucleotides in length. Their secondary structure includes four short double-helical elements and three loops (D, anti-codon, and T loops). RNAcentral also lists the same sequence under 1 other name. Lineage: Bacteria; Bacillati; Actinomycetota; Actinomycetes; Mycobacteriales; Mycobacteriaceae. The record is from RNAcentral.